ACACACACACACACACUCACUCACACACACACACACACACAGACACACACACAUACACAUACAGCUCUCUGGUGGAUGUGGUUGGCAUGGCAACUUUUUGGAUGACCAUAUUUGGCACUAAAAUCUUUUCACAGUUUGGAAAUUUGGAAUCAGUUUGCUAAAGAAAGGAAAGGGGGAGGAGUUAGGAAAGAAAGGAAGAUAGAAAAUAAGAGAGCGAGUAUUUACGGAACGAGAAGAAAGAAGGAAGGAUAGAGGGGAGGAGCGAGGAAGAGAAGAGAUGUUAGUAGAAGAUGGAAGGAAAGGAAACAAAAAGGAGAAACAGCUUCCUGUUGGACGACGCGUCGACAAACAUUUAACAACAGGAAACUCAACACAACCUGUGUGUGUGUGUGUGUGUACAGAUGCUGAUCACUCUGACAUUUCCUCUCCUGUCGUAUGAAACCGUCUCUUCUCGUCAACAUCAGUGUGAAAUGUCAGAAAUGCAGUUUGUUCAAAUGUCAAACAUCCUUUCAAACGUCAGGUGAACAAUUAACUACAACAGCUGCGACACACAAACACUGAAACACAUUAACACACAAACACACAAACACAUAAACACAUAAACAUGAAAUCUGAUGAAUAAAAUACGAGCGAUGUAUAAAACUUAAA
Long non-coding RNA from Scophthalmus maximus (turbot), 648 nucleotides. RefSeq lists it as uncharacterized. NCBI's taxonomy places the organism in Eukaryota, Metazoa, Chordata, Actinopteri, Pleuronectiformes, Scophthalmidae. The transcript has 2 exons. The record is from RefSeq and is a predicted model, not a curated record.